Molecule: long non-coding RNA, 597 nt
Filed under: Heterocephalus glaber (naked mole-rat)
Lineage: Eukaryota; Metazoa; Chordata; Mammalia; Rodentia; Bathyergidae
Description: lncRNA (ENSHGLG00000025735.2)
Source: RNAcentral
ACCAGACACUGGAGUACAGGAACUUGGGGAAGAGAAGGAAGGAGAUGGAUCCCCAAGACUCAGGAAAGUAUUGAAGGGAGAAUUGGAGCCCAAAGGCAGAUGAAGGUGACAGAUCUCAAUGAACAAGAGUGUGGUUGCAAACUGUGCUUUCUCCCUGAUCUGUGGCUAAUUGGAAAACUGCAUUCUCCCUGACUACUAGGUCAUGGCAUGAGCGAAGAGGCUUGGGCCUACAGAGGUGUGAUGAUGGUGGGGGACCCUGGCAGCUUCCACAGAGAAACACACCAGUUGAGUGGAGCAGGAGAUGCUGUGGGCUGCAGCAGCUGGGAUUGAGCAAGUAUUUUGAAACAACAACAACCAACCAAACAAGAAGAAAACCUCACCUAAAAGGUAACUACUAUUUUAAUGUAAACGAUGUAGUGGUAAAUUAUUGACCUAGUUCAUAAAAGAUUUUGUGAUUCUCUAAACUCUCUGAGCUCUGUAUGAAUUCACUGGCCUCAAAUUAAACUUGUGCUUAUCAGAGUGUAGUCUGGAAGAAAAAAAAAUCCAACUUGACAUAAAAACCCAUGAUGGGAUUUCAUGCAACUAAAGUUGGUUGAG